Molecule: ribosomal RNA, 492 nt
Filed under: uncultured bacterium
Lineage: Bacteria
Description: partial 16S ribosomal RNA
Rfam family: Bacterial small subunit ribosomal RNA
Source: RNAcentral
AGUGAACGCUGGCGGCAGGCCUAACACAUGCAAGUCGAACGGCAGCACCGUACGAGCUUGCUCUUACGGGUGGCGAGUGGCGGAAGGGUGAGGAGUACAUCCGACUCUACUUUUUCGUGGGGGAUAACGUAGGGAGACUUACGCUAAUACCGCAUACGACCUACGGGUGAAAGCAGGGGAUCUUCGGACCUUGCGCGAUUGGAUGAGCCGCUGUCGGAUUAGCUAGUUGGCGGGGUAAAGGCCCAGCCAGGCGACGAUCGGUAGCUGGUGUGAGAGGAUGAUCAGCCACAUGGGAGGUUAGACACGGUCCAGACGCCUACGGGAGGCAGCAGUGGGGAAUAGUGGACAAUGGGGGCAAGUCUGGUCCAGUGAUACCGCGUGUGUGAAGGAGGCCUUCGGGGCGUAAAGCCCUUUUGUUGGGAAAGAAAAGCAGCAGGUUGAGACCCCGCUGUUCUGACGGUACCCAAAGAAUAAGCACCGGCUAACUACGUG